UACGGAGGAUGCGAGCGUUAUCCGGAUUUAUUGGGUUUAAAGGGUGCGUAGGCGGAGUGCCAAGUCAGCGGUAAAAAUUCGGGGCUCAACCCCGUCGUGCCGUUGAAGCUGGCGCCCUUGAGUGGGCGAGAAGUAUGCGGAAUGCGUGGUGUAGCGGUGAAAUGCAUAGAUAUCACGCAGAACCCCGAUUGCGAAGGCAGCAUACCGGCGCCCGACUGACGCUGAAGCACGAAAGCGUGGGUAUCGAACAGG
Molecule: ribosomal RNA, 252 nt
Filed under: uncultured bacterium
Lineage: Bacteria
Description: partial 16S ribosomal RNA
Rfam family: Bacterial small subunit ribosomal RNA
Source: RNAcentral